UACGUAGGGUGCAAGCGUUGUCCGGAUUUAUUGGGCGUAAAGAGCGUGUAGGCGGCCGUGUAGGUCCGUUGUGAAAACUCGAGGCUCAACCUCGAGACGUCGAUGGAAACCACACGGCUAGAGUCCGGAAGAGGAGAGUGGAAUUCCUGGUGUAGCGGUGAAAUGCGCAGAUAUCAGGAAGAACACCUAUGGCGAAGGCAGCUCUCUGGGACGGUACUGACGCUGAGACGCGAAAGCGUGGGGAGCGAACAGG
RNAcentral lists this ribosomal RNA (253 nucleotides) under uncultured bacterium. RNAcentral describes it as "partial 16S ribosomal RNA". It matches the Rfam family "Bacterial small subunit ribosomal RNA", at positions 524 to 776 of the family's 1533-position model. The record is from RNAcentral.